CCACCCAAACCUCUCCUCUUCCCAUUUCAUCCUCUCU
Molecule: small RNA, 37 nt
Filed under: Arabidopsis thaliana (thale cress)
Lineage: Eukaryota; Viridiplantae; Streptophyta; Magnoliopsida; Brassicales; Brassicaceae
Description: ATSL009110
Source: RNAcentral